UUUUAAAGGAAGUUUUCUAGUGGAAAAUUCCUUCAGUAAUCCACACCUGGAUGAGGCCUAGCUAUCUUUUAGUGUGAAACCGGUGACUUUAAGACGGCAGAAACACACCUCUUUCAGGACCCAUGAUGAAAGAACACAGUUGCAGCUGAGCCAUUUCAGUACGAGCUUUCAACCCACCAUCCAUCACAGGAUCCCUCACCCAAUUACCAUCCUCUUCCUUCACCAAUCCACCACCCUGCAAAACCUCUUGGUCAUUCCCAGAGUCCAGGCAAACUAAGGUCUCUUCUUGCCCUCCCAGGCACAAGAGCCCGGUCAGCAGUAGCCCAGAAAGAGACUUACACAACACCAGAUUUGCUUUAAGGGCCCGUGAUCUACGUACGUUGUCCAUUGGGGUUACUCAUUGGCUCCUAGUUGAUGCAGAAGAUGAGGUAACUGAGGCACA
This is a long non-coding RNA of Tachyglossus aculeatus (Australian echidna), 442 nucleotides long. RefSeq lists it as uncharacterized. NCBI's taxonomy places the organism in Eukaryota, Metazoa, Chordata, Mammalia, Monotremata, Tachyglossidae. The record is from RefSeq and is a predicted model, not a curated record. The transcript has 4 exons.